CUGAAAGGGAAACCACAAUAGUGACCUGGCUGGAGGACUGAGUCAUGAAGAGGACAGCUGUGGCUUCUGAAAGCUAAAGAUGAACUGCAGAGGAGAAAAUGGGGUAUAAUUGCUGGAAGGGGUGUCAGCCUGAUUGAGCUAAUCUCCAAAACUGCUGGGGGCAGCACCAUCUAGUGUCUGCAGGUGCUUUCUGUGACACACAUCAAAUUUUAUGGGCCUUAUCCUGCUGUCAUUCACAUGACAUAAUUCAUUUUUGCCACCCAAUGUAUGUGACUGAGAAGGUUUGGCAGUCUAGAGAAAUAAAUUCAACAUGGAAGAAAAGGGAGUGAAAUCUUGGUGCUGCUGGGAAUGUUACAUAAUGCAUUGGCUGGAUUAAUUUUAACCUUCAUUCUUUGCAUUAUGGACCUAAUCAAGUCCUCUUUGGGAUGGAAGAAGUUUGCUUUGGUUUCUCAAUUACAAAAGGACAGCAGCUGGUGAUGGGGUGCUGUGCAGAGACAGACAGGGAGAGAGAGAGAGAGAGGAGGGGUAUCUUGGGGGUGUCUGCCCCUCUUUAUAGUUCUGUCCACUGCUUUGAGAAGCAUUUCCAGCUGGGAGCAAGGCAACAGGCUGCCUGGGCCUGUUAUGCCUUGAUGUUACAGUUGUAGAUUGCAGUGGUGCAAAGAUGGGUAGCAGAAUGCUUCUCAAAGCUCCUGGGAAUGGUGAAUAU
Molecule: non-coding RNA, 706 nt
Organism: Caretta caretta (loggerhead turtle)
Lineage: Eukaryota; Metazoa; Chordata; Testudines; Cheloniidae
Source: RefSeq, a predicted model, not a curated record